Molecule: long non-coding RNA, 927 nt
Filed under: Mytilus galloprovincialis (Mediterranean mussel)
Lineage: Eukaryota; Metazoa; Mollusca; Bivalvia; Mytilida; Mytilidae
Source: RNAcentral
ACGCUAAAGUACGAUGGUGUCUCACGCUAAAGUGCGUUGGUUGUUUGUUCGCUAAAGUACGAUGGUGUAUCACGCUAAAGUGCGAUGGUCCAAAGGGUAAGAUUCGAGGGGUUAAAACAUCGAGGUUAAAAAAGUUUUGCAAAGCUAGUAUGCUAAAGUAUAACAUAUGUGAUAGGCUUUAUAAUUUUCCGGUAGGCUUAAGUGAUUGUUUCUAAAUAAACAAGUUCUACGAAGUAAUAAUUGCUAUGAAGGUACUAAUUUAUGUGUCGCAAAAUAUUAAAUUUCAUGUAAAAUGAAUUUUUAACAAUUUGGAGCGUAUUCAUAGUAUUGAAUAUUUGGAUAAUUGGUAUAUAUUGUCAUUCACACCAAUGUUACAACCUUCCUUACAGUCGUCAUUGAAAAAUUAUAAAUACAAAAUUCGUUCAUUGUCGGAAUAUGCAACAUUUAUUCUUUUAUUUAUAAGCUUUUAAUCAUGUCAAAUGCGAUAGAAAGGCAAUGUUCGCCUAGCUUCCUUUUUCUUAGCGAGAACAAAUACAUGUUUUAUUUUCCUACAAUGUACAGUACAAACAAAUGUUUAAGCAGAAAAUUUAUAAUUCACACAUGAAAACAUGUAUGUCUAUUUUACCGUCGGACGUAUCUUUUAUUAAAAUCGACAGCAUUUUAACGAGGAUCAAAAAGUAAACUGCCACAUAAACAAUGCUUCAAAUGUAUCCGUUUGCUUCUAAUAGAAGUAAGAUAAGUAUGCGUAUACUGUUUUGUAUGUAUUUAGUAAAUUUGUUCACUACAGAAUACAAGUCCUUCCAGCACUCGAAAAAAAUAAACAUUGCGCUACAGCCGACAAAGAACGGUUAAGUUUAAAUCAAUUACUAGUAUUAAAGUCCUGGACAUUUAUUGAAAAAAUUGUUAAUAAAAUAUUCUGAAUCUAUC